UAAUUAACUGAUUAUCAAAUAUAAAAUUCCUCCCUUCUAAGGAGGCGGUCAUAGGUUCGAAUCCUAU
Molecule: transfer RNA, 67 nt
Filed under: Aquimarina aggregata
Lineage: Bacteria; Pseudomonadati; Bacteroidota; Flavobacteriia; Flavobacteriales; Flavobacteriaceae
Description: Aquimarina sp. RZW4-3-2 tRNA
Rfam family: tRNA
About the family: Transfer RNA (tRNA) molecules are approximately 80 nucleotides in length. Their secondary structure includes four short double-helical elements and three loops (D, anti-codon, and T loops).
Source: Rfam by way of RNAcentral